GAUGAACGCUGGCGGCGUGCCUAAUACAUACAAGUCGAGCGAACAGACGAGGAGCUUGCUACUCUGACGUUAGCGGCGGACGGGUGAGUAACACGUGGAUAACCUACCUAUAAGACUGGGAUAACUUCGGGAAACCGGAGCUAAUACCGGCUAACAUGUUGAACCUCAUGGUUCAACAGUGAAAGACGGUCUUGCUGUCACUUAUAGAUGGAUCAGCGCCGCGUUAGCUAGUUCGUAAGGUAACGGCUUACGAAGGAAACGAUGCGUAGCCGACAUAAGAGGGUGGUCGGCCACACUGGAACUGAGACACGGUCCAGACGCCUACGGGAGGCAGCAGUAGGGAAUCGUCCGCAAUGGUCGAAAGCCUGACAGAGCAACGCCGCGUGAGUGAAGAAGGUCUUCGGAUCGUAAAACUCUGUUAUUAGGUAAGAACAAAUGUGUAAGUAACUAUGCACGUCUUGACGGUACCUAAUCAGAAAGCCACGGCUAACUACGUGCCAGCCGCCGCAGUAA
Molecule: ribosomal RNA, 513 nt
Filed under: uncultured bacterium
Lineage: Bacteria
Description: partial 16S ribosomal RNA
Rfam family: Bacterial small subunit ribosomal RNA
Source: RNAcentral